UCUCUUCCCAUACCCUAUCUUGAAUAUGCCGCAUACUUAAAUCAAUCCCUAAAAAUUCAUCACUGCCGCUAAGAUCUCCCCCUUCCGUCGUUCUCCACUAUCACGCCUCACCCAAUUCAACACCAUCUUAUCUUGAAUCUUCUAUUUCAUUCUCUCUUCUUUCUUUAUUUCUGCUACAACCCAUUCUUCAACUGCCGUGACUUAAUCGAGUACUUGCUCGGGAUAUGAUAUAUCGGAAGAAACGGAACGGGGCGGAUCUGGUUUCCUCGGAAAUCCCCAGUGCAUGAUUGUUUGAUGAUUAUUGUUUGUUAGACGAAAUUACUGUGAUUUGUGGCCAUCUUCGUUCACUUGACCCUUCAGCCCUAAUUUAAUGAAUCAUUUGGGAAUUCCGACAAGCUCAUCGAACCAACCACUAAUCCCCACCUCUUAAUUUACAGUGUUUUCUCACAGCCAACGACUGCCAUUGUCCUCUGAAAUUGGGGUGAGCAACACUGGGUACCCGCUUAUUUUUUUGGGAUCGAAACCUGUUGCACCGGUUCGUAAAAAAUGGGAACUGGAAUCUGUUCUUCUGGUUCCUAAAAAUUGAGAUCCAGAACCGGAACCUGUAGGUAUCGGUACCGGUUCCGGGUACCCUGUUAUUUUGACAGCUUUCUCAUUCAACCUGUUAAUUGUUACACAUUAAGUGGAAUGGUAUGUCGCCUCCAUGUUAAAAUUGACCCUUUUAUAACCUGUUAAUUUAUUAAACUAAAAUGUUACUACUUAUCACAAGUAACUAUUUUCUAUACAAAAUUUAUCCACCAUUUCAUACUUAAAUAGUAAUAAAAACUCUAACCCAAAGUACAUAUUACGAAAAAGCAAAGUUUGAAAUCAAUUACAAGUUUAAUCCAAAUUCAAAAGUAUAGGUCACAAAAUGCAUAAAGUCGUAAAAAGUCCAAACCAAGUAUGUUUACAACUAAAAGAUAUUACACCAUAUUUACAAUUCCAAUGCAAUUUUUGCUCCUUUCUCAAACUUUCAUGCGGUGAUGCCCUUGAUACUCUACUGACUCCUAGCACAAAGACAAAUAAGUUAUUACA
This is a long non-coding RNA of Hibiscus syriacus, 1074 nucleotides long. RefSeq lists it as uncharacterized. The record is from RefSeq and is a predicted model, not a curated record. The transcript has 3 exons. NCBI's taxonomy places the organism in Eukaryota, Viridiplantae, Streptophyta, Magnoliopsida, Malvales, Malvaceae.